This 59-nucleotide transfer RNA is filed under the name Hyalomma truncatum. RNAcentral describes it as "tRNA-Cys". The record is from RNAcentral. Lineage: Eukaryota; Metazoa; Arthropoda; Arachnida; Ixodida; Ixodidae.
AAAUCUUACUAAAUUUAAAUUGCAAAUUUAAAUACGAUUAUACAUUAAUCUAAGAUUUA